RNAcentral lists this ribosomal RNA (35 nucleotides) under Haemonchus contortus (barber pole worm). RNAcentral's name for it is "partial 28S ribossomal RNA". Lineage: Eukaryota; Metazoa; Nematoda; Chromadorea; Rhabditida; Trichostrongylidae. The record is from RNAcentral.
UGCAACCUGAGUCUGACGGCGGAUACCCGGACUGA